This 2437-nucleotide ribosomal RNA is filed under the name Salmonella enterica subsp. enterica serovar Typhimurium. RNAcentral's name for it is "partial 23S ribosomal RNA". It matches the Rfam family "Bacterial large subunit ribosomal RNA", at positions 606 to 2925 of the family's 2925-position model. Lineage: Bacteria; Pseudomonadati; Pseudomonadota; Gammaproteobacteria; Enterobacterales; Enterobacteriaceae. The record is from RNAcentral.
UUUUGUAUAAUGGGUCAGCGACUUAUAUUCUGUAGCAAGGUUAACCGUAUAGGGGAGCCGGAGGGAAACCGAGUCUUAAUUGGGCGUUAAGUUGCAGGGUAUAGACCCGAAACCCGGUGAUCUAGCCAUGGGCAGGUUGAAGGUUGGGUAACACUAACUGGAGGACCGAACCGACUAAUGUUGAAAAAUUAGCGGAUGACCUGUGGCUGGGGGUGAAAGGCCAAUCAAACCGGGAGAUAGCUGGUUCUCCCCGAAAGCUAUUUAGGUAGCGCCUCGUGAAUUCAUCUCCGGGGGUAGAGCACUGUUUCGGCUAGGGGGCCAUCCCGGCUUACCAACCCGAUGCAAACUGCGAAUACCGGAGAAUGUUAUCACGGGAGACACACGGCGGGUGCUAACGUCCGUCGUGAAGAGGGAAACAACCCAGACCGCCAGCUAAGGUCCCAAAGUCAUGGUUAAGUGGGAAACGAUGUGGGAAGGCCCAGACAGCCAGGAUGUUGGCUUAGAAGCAGCCAUCAUUUAAAGAAAGCGUAAUAGCUCACUGGUCGAGUCGGCCUGCGCGGAAGAUGUAACGGGGCUAAACCAUGCACCGAAGCUGCGGCAGCGAACGUAUCACCCAAGACAACUUUACGGAGUUGACGAUUGACGGAGCGAAGCGACGUCAAAGCGUUCAUUAAAGUCGAGUUGGCUUAGGGAUACGUUCGUUGGGUAGGGGAGCGUUCUGUAAGCCUGUGAAGGUGUGUCGUGAGGCAUGCUGGAGGUAUCAGAAGUGCGAAUGCUGACAUAAGUAACGAUAAAGCGGGUGAAAAGCCCGCUCGCCGGAAGACCAAGGGUUCCUGUCCAACGUUAAUCGGGGCAGGGUGAGUCGACCCCUAAGGCGAGGCCGAAAGGCGUAGUCGAUGGGAAACGGGUUAAUAUUCCCGUACUUGGUGUUACUGCGAAGGGGGGACGGAGAAGGCUAUGUUGGCCGGGCGACGGUUGUCCCGGUUUAAGCGUGUAGGUGUGUGUUCCAGGUAAAUCCGGUUCACUUUAACACUGAGGCGUGACGACGAGGCACUACGGUGCUGAAGCAACAAAUGCCCUGCUUCCAGGAAAAGCCUCUAAGCAUCAGGUAACACGAAAUCGUACCCCAAACCGACACAGGUGGUCAGGUAGAGAAUACCAAGGCGCUUGAGAGAACUCGGGUGAAGGAACUAGGCAAAAUGGUGCCGUAACUUCGGGAGAAGGCACGCUGACACGUAGGUGAAGUGAUUUACUCAUGGAGCUGAAGUCAGUCGAAGAUACCAGCUGGCUGCAACUGUUUAUUAAAAACACAGCACUGUGCAAACACGAAAGUGGACGUAUACGGUGUGACGCCUGCCCGGUGCCGGAAGGUUAAUUGAUGGGGUCAGCGUAAGCGAAGCUCCUGAUCGAAGCCCCGGUAAACGGCGGCCGUAACUAUAACGGUCCUAAGGUAGCGAAAUUCCUUGUCGGGUAAGUUCCGACCUGCACGAAUGGCGUAAUGAUGGCCAGGCUGUCUCCACCCGAGACUCAGUGAAAUUGAACUCGCUGUGAAGAUGCAGUGUACCCGCGGCAAGACGGAAAGACCCCGUGAACCUUUACUAUAGCUUGACACUGAACAUUGAGCCUUGAUGUGUAGGAUAGGUGGGAGGCUUUGAAGUGUGGACGCCAGUCUGCAUGGAGCCGACCUUGAAAUACCACCCUUUAAUGUUUGAUGUUCUAACGUGGACCCGUAAUCCGGGUUGCGGACAGUGUCUGGUGGGUAGUUUGACUGGGGCGGUCUCCUCCUAAAGAGUAACGGAGGAGCACGAAGGUUGGCUAAUCCUGGUCGGACAUCAGGAGGUUAGUGCAAUGGCAUAAGCCAGCUUGACUGCGAGCGUGACGGCGCGAGCAGGUGCGAAAGCAGGUCAUAGUGAUCCGGUGGUUCUGAAUGGAAGGGCCAUCGCUCAACGGAUAAAAGGUACUCCGGGGAUAACAGGCUGAUACCGCCCAAGAGUUCAUAUCGACGGCGGUGUUUGGCACCUCGAUGUCGGCUCAUCACAUCCUGGGGCUGAAGUAGGUCCCAAGGGUAUGGCUGUUCGCCAUUUAAAGUGGUACGCGAGCUGGGUUUAGAACGUCGUGAGACAGUUCGGUCCCUAUCUGCCGUGGGCGCUGGAGAACUGAGGGGGGCUGCUCCUAGUACGAGAGGACCGGAGUGGACGCAUCACUGGUGUUCGGGUUGUCAUGCCAAUGGCACUGCCCGGUAGCUAAAUGCGGAAGAGAUAAGUGCUGAAAGCAUCUAAGCACGAAACUUGCCCCGAGAUGAGUUCUCCCUGAGACUUUAGGUCUCCUGAAGGAACGUUGAAGACGACGACGUUGAUAGGCCGGGUGUGUAAGCGCAGCGAUGCGUUGAGCUAACCGGUACUAAUGAACCGUGAGGCUUAACCUUACAACGCCGAAG